CUCUCUCUCUCUCUCUCCUUUCCUUUUCCUUUUUUAAAUAUUCCUUGUGUUAUUUUUUUAUUAUGCGUUGUUUGUUGCACUUUUAGCUCUACUAUUUUUCUUUUGCCUGCUGACUUUCGCCAAAUAAAUUUAUCUUAGUAGUCAUUGUUGAUCUUUUACCUCUUAAGAUAAUUCAAGGCUAGUUGAUGCAUAAAUGGGAAGCAUUAAAUGUCCCAUUUAUGAAUGUUUUUAAUUUAUAUAAGCAUGCUGAUUAUAUAUUUAGCUAUAAUGUAUAUAAUUAGGUCCAAAAAUGGAUGUUUAUCAUUACCCUUUAUUAAGUACUUUAACCUUUUCCAAUGAAUUCCUUCUCUAAUUAAUUAUCAGUGAUUUUUUCUGUAAUUAAUUAUCUGUGAGUCUUUCAUUUAAUGACUCAUGAGAUGUUGCUUUACAGUUAAUAAAGAUAGCAAACCCCAACUAAUUGGGGUUAAGGUUUAGUUAUUGUUGCUGUUGUAAUAAAGCUGUUUCAUGAUCAUGGUCAUUAAUAAAGCUGUUUCUAUGAGAAUCUUUUAGAAAUACAAAGCUGUUUCAACUUACAGUUAAUAAAGACAAUUGUAUAAUUUUCAUUAUUACUGAUCAUGAGCUUGUGGGCUUUGACUUGGAAGUAAACAAUAUAUUCAUGAUCAUAUCCUUGGCCAAAAAGCCAAACCAUCAUGUGUUAAGAUAGUUGGGAUAUGUUCUUCCAUUUUUCCUAUUAAUAAGUCAUAAAAAACAUGUCAAAAGAAUUAUUAAUAACUCAUCAAAUUGGUAAGCUGCAAUUGGAGAGUCAUAUUCUGUCUUUAGAUGUGGAAUCUUGACUCUUGCUUAAUUCUCAUCAUCCCAUCAUGUUUGGAGAUCUUACGUGGAAAAAAAAAAAGCAAGAAUCUUUACGUAUUAAUUUGAUUAUAUAAUAUCCCCAACAUGUAGUUUUAGCAUUGACUUUCAUAAGAAAAUCAUAUUGGAAUCAACCCUCUUGUCCUAGAGAUUAUCCAAUGGAUUUUGAAUAGACAUUGUGGUUUUGGUAAUUGAUGGUUUAUUUUCCUUAAAUAGAAGUUCCUGUGUCAGUACUUCCAUUACAAUAUGGAAAUUUAAUUUACCACUCAGAUUCCUUGAUAAGUUUUCUUCAUUUUCUCAAUCAUUUGUGUAAGGAUAUAUUCCAGCAUACUCUUACAAUUAGCUGUAAACAGGAAGGAGAAGAACCAAAACCUGAAGAUAAUGCAACAAAAGCUGAACAAAUGGAAAAUUUGCCAUCCCUGCAAUGGAUGCCGAAGAAACAGACACUAGAGUUUGUCCUGGACAUAUUGCAGAGGAGAGACACACAAGAAAUUUUUGCACAGCCAGUUGAUCCCCAAGAGGUGCUUGGCUAUUACAAUAUCCUUAGAGAGCCAAUGGAUUUUGGCACAAUGAGGGCUAAACUUCAGGAAGGAAUGUAUACAAGUUUGGAACAAUUUG
Molecule: unclassified non-coding RNA, 1467 nt
Filed under: Hevea brasiliensis (rubber tree)
Lineage: Eukaryota; Viridiplantae; Streptophyta; Magnoliopsida; Malpighiales; Euphorbiaceae
Source: RNAcentral